Molecule: ribosomal RNA, 433 nt
Filed under: uncultured bacterium
Lineage: Bacteria
Description: partial 16S ribosomal RNA
Rfam family: Bacterial small subunit ribosomal RNA
Source: RNAcentral
AACGAACGCUGGCGGCAGGCCUAACACAUGCAAGUCGAGCGAGGACUUCGGUCCUAGCGGCGGACGGUUGAGUAACGCGUGGGAACGUGCCCUUUGCUUCGGAAUAGCCCUGGGAAACUGGGAGUAAUACCGGAUGAGCCCUUUGGGGGAAAGAUUUAUCGGCGAAGGAUCGGCCCGCGUUGGAUUAGGUAGUUGGUGGGGUAAUGGCCUACCAAGCCGACGAUCCAUAGCUGGUUUGAGAGGAUGAUCAGCCACACUGGGACUGAGACACGGCCCAGACUCCUACGGGAGGCAGCAGUGGGGAAUCUUAGACAAUGGGGGAAACCCUGAUCUAGCCAUGCCGCGUGAGCGAUGAAGGCCUUAGGGUUGUAAAGCUCUUUCAGCUGGGAAGAUAAUGACGGUACCAGCAGAAGAAGCCCCGGCUAACUCCGUG